This 430-nucleotide ribosomal RNA is filed under the name Pseudomonadota bacterium. RNAcentral describes it as "Proteobacteria bacterium partial 16S ribosomal RNA". It matches the Rfam family "Bacterial small subunit ribosomal RNA", at positions 355 to 776 of the family's 1533-position model. Lineage: Bacteria; Pseudomonadati; Pseudomonadota. The record is from RNAcentral.
UGGGGAAUAUUGGACAAUGGGGGGAACCCUGAUCCAGCCAUGCCGCGUGUGUGAAGAAGGACUUAUGGUUGUAAAGCACUUUAAGCGAGGAGGAGGGUACUGGUAUUAAUACUACCAGCUACUGGACGUUACUCGCAGAAUAAGCACCGGCUAACUCUGUGCCAGCAGCCGCGGUAAUACAGAGGGUGCGAGCGUUAAUCGGAUUUACUGGGCGUAAAGCGUGCGUAGGCGGCUAAUUGAGUCGGAUGUGAAAUCCCCGAGCUUAACUUGGGAAUUGCAUUCGAUACUGGUUAGCUAGAGUGUGGGAGAGGAUGGUAGAAUUCCAGGUGUAGCGGUGAAAUGCGUAGAGAUCUGGAGGAAUACCGAUGGCGAAGGCAGCCAUCUGGCCUAACACUGACGCUGAGGUACGAAAGCAUGGGGAGCAAACAGG